RNAcentral lists this ribosomal RNA (784 nucleotides) under uncultured bacterium. RNAcentral's name for it is "bacterial SSU rRNA". It matches the Rfam family "Bacterial small subunit ribosomal RNA", at positions 10 to 796 of the family's 1533-position model. The record is from RNAcentral.
AGUUUGAUCCUGGCUCAGAUUGAACGCGGGCGGAAUGCUUUACACAUGCAAGUCGAGCGGCAGCGCGGGGCAACCUGGCGGCGAGCGGCGAACGGGUGAGUAACAUAUCGGAACGUACCCAGUCGUGGGGGAUAACUAUCCGAAAGGAUAGCUAAUACCGCAUACGACCUGAGGGUGAAAGGGGGGGAUCGCAAGACCUCUCGCGAUUGGAGCGGCCGAUAUCGGAUUAGCUAGUUGGUGAGGUAAAGGCUCACCAAGGCGACGAUGGCUAGGGGUUCUGAGAGGAUUAUCCCCCACACUGGUACUGAGACACGGACCAGACUCCUACGGGAGGCAGCAGUAAGGAAUAUUGGACAAUGGGCGCAAGCCUGAUCCAGCCAUGCCGCGUGCAGGAUGAAGCAUCUAUGGUGUGUAAACUGCUUUUGUACGAGAAGAAACAUCCCGACGUGUCGGGACUUGACGGUAUCGUAAGAAUAAGGAUCGGCUAACUCCGUGCCAGCAGCCGCGGUAAUACGGAGGAUCCAAGCGUUAUCCGGAAUCAUUGGGUUUAAAGGGUCCGUAGGCGGUCUUAUAAGUCAGUGGUGAAAUCUCCCCGCUCAACGGGGAAACGGCCAUUGAUACUGUAGGACUUGAAUUAUUAGGAAGUAACUAGAAUAUGUAGUGUAGCGGUGAAAUGCUUAGAGAUUACAUGGAAUACCAAUUGCGAAGGCAGGUUACUACUAAUGGAUUGACGCUGAUGGACGAAAGCGUGGGUAGCGAACAGGAUUAGAUACCCUGGUAGUCC